Molecule: long non-coding RNA, 219 nt
Filed under: Elaeis guineensis (African oil palm)
Lineage: Eukaryota; Viridiplantae; Streptophyta; Magnoliopsida; Arecales; Arecaceae
Description: long non-coding RNA (EGUI_LNC033771)
Source: RNAcentral
CCGAGCCGGAGGUGCUGAAGCGAGGUUACGUCCAAUGGAUCGACGGUAGUCGAACCUACAAAGAAAGCUCCCAUUGGAGUUGGCUCCGAUGAGGACUCCGGUGGGGACCCUCCGAUGCUCAAAUCAGAUUUUUUGCAGUAGAUGGAAAAGAACAAGCGAUCAUGAGAGAGAAAGGAGGAGUAUUUUUUUUGGGGUCUCCAAAUUACCUUUUUAUAGGUG